RNAcentral lists this ribosomal RNA (458 nucleotides) under uncultured bacterium. Its description in RNAcentral is "partial 16S ribosomal RNA". It matches the Rfam family "Bacterial small subunit ribosomal RNA", at positions 338 to 795 of the family's 1533-position model. The record is from RNAcentral.
CCUACGGGAGGCUGCAGUGAGGAAUAUUGGUCAAUGGCCGAGAGGCUGAACCAGCCAAGUCGCGUGAGGGAAGACGGCCUACGGGUUGUAAACCUCUUUUGUCGGGGAGCAAAGCGAACCACGGGUGGGUCAUUGAGAGUACCCGAAGAAAAAGCAUCGGCUAACUCCGUUCCAGCAGCCGCGGUAAUACGGGGGAUGCGAGCGUUAUCCGGAUUUAUUGGGUUUAAAGGGGGCGCAGGCGGAGGUGCAAGUCAGCGGUCAAAUUGCGGGGCUCAACCCCGUACUGCCGUUGAAACUGCAUCCCUUGAGUGCGCGAGAAGUAUGCGGAAUGCGUGGUGUAGCGGUGAAAUGCAUAGAUAUCACGCAGAACUCCGAUUGCGAAGGCAGCAUACCGGCGCGCAACUGACGCUGAGGCUCGAAAGUGUGGGUAUCAAACAGGAUUAGAUACCCCAGUAGUC